UACGUAGGGCGCGAGCGUUGUCCGGAAUCAUUGGGCGUAAAGAGCUCGUAGGCGGCCUGUCGCGUCUGCUGUGAAAUCCCGGGGCUUAACCCCGGGCGUGCAGUGGAUACGGGCUGGCUGGAGGCAGGCAGGGGAGAACGGAAUUCCCGGUGUAGCGGUGAAAUGCGCAGAUAUCGGGAGGAACACCGGUGGCGAAGGCGGUUCUCUGGGCCUGUACUGACGCUGAACUGCGAAAGCUAGGGGAGCGAACGGG
RNAcentral lists this ribosomal RNA (253 nucleotides) under uncultured bacterium. RNAcentral describes it as "partial 16S ribosomal RNA". It matches the Rfam family "Bacterial small subunit ribosomal RNA", at positions 524 to 776 of the family's 1533-position model. The record is from RNAcentral.